CCUGAAAUUCCAGAGAUGUUCCCGGGGUUUUUUUCCAUGCCAGAGUUCAGGGGGUUGGGAAUUGUGGGAAUUUCAGGAAUUCUGGAGGAUUUGGGGUUGGUUCCAAGCUGGGCCCGCACGCCAGCCUGGACAGCGUCGUCUGCGCCAACAAGGUACCCGGAAUUCCGGGAAUUUCUGGGAAUUUUGGGAAUUCUGGAGGUUUGUCACUGGUUGGAUCCUGUGGGAUUGAAAUUCUGGAGAUUUUGGUGGUUCUGGAAGCUCCAGAGCCAUUCCUGGGGCUCUGGUCCCAAC
RNAcentral lists this long non-coding RNA (291 nucleotides) under Zonotrichia albicollis (white-throated sparrow). RNAcentral's name for it is "lncRNA (ENSZALG00000000274.1)". Lineage: Eukaryota; Metazoa; Chordata; Aves; Passeriformes; Passerellidae. The record is from RNAcentral.